GAGUCUUUUUACUUUUACAAGUCCUUUAGUUCAUGAAUAUACAGAUUUUUAUUUAUUUUUAUCAAGUGGGUCUUACAUAAAUCAUAGUCCUACACAUGGGAAUGAAUUACUUUUUGAAAAUUUUAUGUCUUCUCUUUUUUUCUUUUCUUUUUUUUUUUUAAAAAAAAAAAGAAAAAGAAAAAGAAAUUUAUUUACUUGUCCUUCAUGAGAUGAGAGAUUUAGGGUUAGGGUUCCUCCGUCCCACAUAUUCUCUCUUUUUGCAUGGGCUGAUAAUGGCUAGCGACUAAGAUUUAACAACAAACAGUCACUUCUUGCUGGUGGAGCAUCAUCAAGAUUCACAAUCUUUUAAGGGCUUUGUGGGAGGCUGGUGAUCAUCAUCCCUUGCUCCAAUUUCAAUGGCCUAUGAUCUGGGAAUCUUGAUGAUGCUGCAGCGGCAAUAAAUGGCUUAUAUAUACUAGCAGAUUAUCCAACGGUGUAUGUAGACGUCAAUUAUAAGUAGUGACGAGAGAUUACUCAUAAAGGUCACCGUACUGCAAAUCCCCCGGUCUCCGCAGGUAUGUCAGUACUUCGGUGGAUUAAUAUUGUGUAGUACCCCAAGCAAUCAUGUGUUUUUAUAUAUUCUCUUUUCUUUCUCAGUACUCUGGAUCUUCAUUUCGAUCUGUAUUAUAUAUAACAUCACUCUAUUAAUUCCAGCUAAUUCAGAUUUUUAUAUGUAAAUGAUCAGAGAUUUCUGAGAUUUGUUCAUCUCUAGCUUCAUCCUGUAAAUCUGCAUUAAUCUUGUGAAAUUCUCAAAUCUUUUUGCCAUUUUAGGGUUGGCAAAUUAGCUGUCUGGUGUAUCUAGGGUUACUUGUUUUUAUUUGGGCAUGGCAUAGUACUGUUUCAAUCAGUCUAUUUCUUUACCCUAUAUCUAGAUCUCUCUAUCGACUAGGAAAUUUAUUACGCUUGGCUGGUUAAUUAUAAGAUGAGACAUUAUAAUUUGAAUGGCUUUUCUUUUCAAUCCCAAAAUCUUGUGUCAUUGAGUCCAUGAAAGUAACUUUUUUCAUCACCUUAUGAAAAAGUGUUGAUAGAAAAAAGAUUGGGUUAUAUAUUUAGUAACUGUUUUGAGUUCAAAAAGUGCUUGUAUUUUUAAAUUCAAAAAAAUAUAUUUUUGAAAAACCAUUCUUGGCAUAUAUAGGGCUAAAAUAUGAUACAUAAACCCUAUUUUAACAUUACAUCCUUCUUAUAAAAACAUUAAAAUAUGGGUAAAAAUGAAAUAAAAUAACCUCAGCUAGUCUUAUUCAAGGCUUAAUUUGGUGCAUACAUGCUUCUCUUACACUUCUCCGGCCGGCCGGGAAAAAUUUCCCGGCCGGCAGAAGAGUGUCGGAAAACUGUCCUUGAUUUGGUAAAGCGUUUUUAAAAACUGGAAGUGUUCUUAAAAAAUGUCACCAAACAUACUUGAUAUUUUGUUUGUUUUUGUUUUUUGGGACGAAAAAAAGGGAAUCUAGUUGAAAUAAAGAACUUGUACUGGUUUCGUGUAAGAGCUCUAUUUCAUUCUCAUUGCUAUCAAAUUAAUUCUACUUUGUAAUCAAUAACUUGUACUUGUUGCGUGGACUGUAAUUCCCCAUUCUUUUAGGGUUGGCAAAGGAAUAUUGCUCUCACUGGCUUUUUUGGCCAAGUAAACUAUAUAUGUUCAUCCAUGGGAAUGUUUGAAUGUGCUAGAAAAAGUUCAAUUGCACACGAUCGACUCUGCAUUUAAGUGUAAAUUUUUGAGGAACCAUAUCUUGUAGUUGUGAAUUCUAAUCGUGGUUGAUCACAUUUAAAUAAUUUGUCACUUCACUCAUGGAGCAAUAUAUAUGUACCCAAAUUUAUUACAUGUUAACAUGAUUCUCUAGUUUCAAUUCCUAUUACCACAGGUUUAAUAUCUUUAUUAAAAAGAUGCAAUAGUUUGCGUGGACUCUCCUGUUAAAACAUGUUUCUAUUGAAUGUAAAAACUUUGAUUAUUGUAUGAUUUUGUUGUAUAAUAGUGAUUAGUUAUGUGUACUUGAAUUGUUCGUCUUGCUCUUAUUUGCUUGUACGUGUGAAUACCAUGAUUAAUUGCAGCAUCUCAGUUACAAUGGGAAUAUUUAUAUAUGAGAAUAGCAUUUGGUUACUUUCUGCUGAUUGGUAUUGUGAAAAUUGUACUACUUUUAAACCUUGCCAUGUGCUUAUGAACUGUGUUGAAGUGUGAAAGUGUCAUUCUGCUUAUGUGAAUAGUUCUUAGAACAUGCUUUACAGAGUGCGAUUUCGAAUGUCAUACAAAGUUUUAGCUUCUCUCGUGAACACAGAUUGAUUUUCAGAUGAGAUGGUCAAAGACAACCUACUUGUGAAUGAACAAGCAAAUACAUGGUCGUUAUGGAAGAAAUAUUUUCUAGUUAAUAGUUAUAUCAUGUCUACCUAGCCUUAAAUAGAAUACUUAUUUGUUAUA
This is a long non-coding RNA of Corylus avellana, 2443 nucleotides long. RefSeq lists it as uncharacterized. The record is from RefSeq and is a predicted model, not a curated record. Lineage: Eukaryota; Viridiplantae; Streptophyta; Magnoliopsida; Fagales; Betulaceae.